Molecule: long non-coding RNA, 837 nt
Filed under: Marmota monax (woodchuck)
Lineage: Eukaryota; Metazoa; Chordata; Mammalia; Rodentia; Sciuridae
Source: RNAcentral
GUGUCCACCUACAACUUAAAAAAAAAUUAAAGCUGGGUUUUAAGAGUGUUCUUAAAUUGACUAGCACUUUCAGAUGUAGCAGCUCUUGCCCACCUUAAGACCAGCCACAGAAUAGAGCUCCACCCCCCAUGGAGUGUGAAGUGAUAACAGCCUGAGGCCAUUCUCACCAUCACUACCUUCUACCCUAGGAAACCUUCUGUUUCUUUCAUCCUCUAAGCAAGCAGAAGUGGCCUUGGGUGCAUGAAAAUGCGCUAAGGCUUUUCACCUUGAAGCUCUGGUUUUGCUUCAUCUAUUUUAAUAAUCUGUAGAUAGAUGCAUAAAUAUUUGUAUUUGCCAUGUCCUUUUAGUGAAACUAUUCAUUUUUUCAUUAGGGUAAUGGCAAUAUGGUAAAGAAAAUGUUAAUAUUCUUCACACUGAAAUUUACAAAGAUGGCAAUUUGUCCAUAUACUUUUUCAGUUUUUUUUUUUUGUGUGUGUGUGUGUGUGUGUAUGUCAACAUGAUACUUGGUUUUCCUUCCCAUUAUUUUACUGUAAAUCUUUUUUUUUUCUUUUCUUUUUUGGUACUGGGAAUUAAACACAGAGGCAUUUUAACACUGAGCUACGUCCCCAGUCCUUUUAAUGUUUUAUUCUGAGACAGUUGCUUAGGCCCUCCCUAAUUUGCUGAGGCUGGCCUCAAACUUGCAAUCAUCCUGCCUCAGCCUCCCAAUUCACUUGAAUUACAGGUAUGGGCCACUGUGCCCAGCAAUUUCAAACCUUUCUAUUUGAAAUACAUUUCUGGGAGUGCAUGUAGUUGGAUCUUAAAUUUUUAUAAAACUGGGCAGUCUUUGCUUUUUAAUAG